GCAGGAACCAAAGUUUGUAUUUCUUUUUUUAAUGAAAUAGAUCAAUGUACACUUGUAUAUGCAUCUCUACAAAUCUAGUUGUGACCCUCUAGAAGCUGCAAAUUGGUAGUUGAUGGCUUGUUGGUUGACGUUGGAAAUAGAAUGAUGAUGAGCAGCAAUUGCCAGCUAUGGACACCAACAACGCUCUCUCUACAUCUCUAGCAGCAUUCUGUCUGAUCAAAGCAAUUGCAAAUUCAAUAAGGUCACAAAGCAGUAUGAGUGGCCCCUUGCUUUAAACUCUUCUUCCGCCAUGUUGAAUAGCUCUUUGAUUAUUUCAUUGUUGAGAUAUUCCAAGGGAAGAAGGAAACGUUUUCCAUCUGCAGAAUACACUACAAAAUGGCCUUUCUCAGCCAUUAGUGAUGUGCUGCAAUUGCUUGUAUCUAUAAUUCCAAGGGUUUGUGGCAACGUGAUUCUUCUUCGCCUGAUAGCAGCCAUCUUCUUCCAUUUCCUUGCCAAUUUUAGAAGCUUCUUGGCAUUGAUAAUCUUGUUAGUCUAUAAGAAAGGAAUCUUUUGGGGGAAGUAAAGGAAGAAAGCUUUAGAUUCUAAAUGCUAAAAGCUAAUCUUUUGAUGGGUAGAAAGGAUUGCGAGUGACUUGAUUAUAUAUUUACAAGGUCAGACUAUCCGUUUCAAGGGGCUGCCACAAUGCAGGGGUGCACCAAAGCAAGGCCAUGUGAUGGGUGGCUGUGAAAGAUUGUUUGUGAGGCUGGCAUGUUUG
This 754-nucleotide unclassified non-coding RNA is filed under the name Hevea brasiliensis (rubber tree). The record is from RNAcentral. Lineage: Eukaryota; Viridiplantae; Streptophyta; Magnoliopsida; Malpighiales; Euphorbiaceae.